GGUGGGGUUCCCAAGCGGCCAAAGGGAGCAGACUGUAAAUCUGCCGUCAUCGACUUCGAAGGUUCGAAUCCUUCCCCCACCACCA
This 85-nucleotide transfer RNA is filed under the name Enterobacter cloacae. RNAcentral describes it as "tRNA-Tyr". It matches the Rfam family "tRNA". Rfam says of the family: Transfer RNA (tRNA) molecules are approximately 80 nucleotides in length. Their secondary structure includes four short double-helical elements and three loops (D, anti-codon, and T loops). Further hydrogen bonds mediate the characteristic L-shaped molecular structure. tRNAs have two regions of fundamental functional importance: the anti-codon, which is responsible for specific mRNA codon recognition, and the 3' end, to which the tRNAs corresponding amino acid is attached (by aminoacyl-tRNA synthetases). tRNAs cope with the degeneracy of the genetic code in two manners: having more than one tRNA (with a specific anti-codon) for a particular amino acid; and 'wobble' base-pairing, i.e. permitting non-standard base-pairing at the 3rd anti-codon position. RNAcentral also lists the same sequence under 8 other names. The record is from RNAcentral. Lineage: Bacteria; Pseudomonadati; Pseudomonadota; Gammaproteobacteria; Enterobacterales; Enterobacteriaceae.